RNAcentral lists this transfer RNA (71 nucleotides) under Capra hircus (goat). It matches the Rfam family "tRNA". Rfam says of the family: Transfer RNA (tRNA) molecules are approximately 80 nucleotides in length. Their secondary structure includes four short double-helical elements and three loops (D, anti-codon, and T loops). The record is from Rfam by way of RNAcentral. RNAcentral also lists the same sequence under 1 other name. Lineage: Eukaryota; Metazoa; Chordata; Mammalia; Artiodactyla; Bovidae.
UCCCGGUGGCUCAGACGGUAAAGCGUCUGUCUACAAUGCAGGAGACCCGGGUUCGAGCCCUGGGUUGGGAA